This is a long non-coding RNA of Oreochromis aureus, 1411 nucleotides long. RefSeq lists it as uncharacterized. The transcript has 4 exons. Lineage: Eukaryota; Metazoa; Chordata; Actinopteri; Cichliformes; Cichlidae. The record is from RefSeq and is a predicted model, not a curated record.
GAUCUUUAAAGAGGAGAGAGGACUGUACCAGGACAAGGUGUUCUGCUUCAUCCAUCUGAGUGUUCAGGAGUUUCUGGCUGCUCUUCAUGUCCAUCUGACCUUCAUCAACUCUGGACUCAAUCUAAUGGUAGAAGAACAAACGACCUCCAAGAAGUCUGAAACAAGAGAAUCUGCAGAGAAACACUUUUAUCAGAGUGCUGUGAACAAGGCCUUACAGAGUCCAAAUGGACACCUGGACUUGUUUCUCCGCUUCCUCCUGGGUCUUUCACUGCAGACUAGUCAGUGUCUCUUACGAGGUCUCCUGACACAGACAGUAAGUAGCUCACAGACCAAAAAGGAAACAGUAAAGUACAUUAAGGAGAAACUCCAUGAGAGUCUGUAUGCAGAGAAAACCAUCAGUCUUUUCCACUGUCUGAAUGAACUGAAUGAUCAUUCUUUAGUGGAGGAGAUCCAACAGUACACAAGUUCAGGACGUCUCUCCCACGAUAGAAUUUCUCCUGCUCAGUGGUCAGCUCUGGUCUUCAUCUUACUGUCAUCAGAAAAAGAUCUGGAUGUGUUUGACCUGAAGAAAUACUCUGCUUCAGAGGAGGCUCUUCUGAGGCUGCUGCCAGUGGUCAAAGCCUCCAACAAAGCUCUUCUGAGUGUCUCUAAACUCUCAGAGAGAGGCUGUGAAGCUCUGUCCUCAGUUCUCAGCUCCCAGUCCUCUACUCUGAGAGAGCUGGACCUGAGUAUAAACACCCUGCAUGAUUCAGGAGUGAAGCUUCUGUGUGCUACAGUGGAGAGUCCACAGUGUACCCUGGAAACGCUCAGGUCAGAUCAACUAAUAUUCUGAAUUCUUUAUAAAUUAAGAUAAGUAGUUAAUUAAAAUUCAAAGCAAAUCAAGGUCAACUUUUAGUGUUGUUUUUACUAAGUACAUGAGACAGAUCUUUUGAUUCUGAAGUUAUGGUAGCCUGCCACAUUUCUAAUCUCUUUAACAUCAGAGAACAAGGACUUUAAAAAUGCUCUUCUCCCCAGACUGAGUCUUUGUAAUUUGUCAGAGAGAAGCUACGAAGCUUUGUCCUCAGUUCUCAGCUCCCAGUCCUCUAGUCUCAGAGAGCUGGAUCUGAGUAACAGUGACCUGCAAGAUUCGGUAGUGAAGCUGCUUUCUGCAGGACUGAGAAGUCCAGACUGUAAACUUAGACUGAGUCACUGUCAGAUCUCACCGAGAAGCUAUGAAGCUCUGUUCUCAGUCCUCAGCUCCAAGUCCUCUAGUCUGAGAGAGCUGAACCUGAGUAACUCUGACCUGCAGGAUUCAGGAGUGACGCUUCUGUCCUUUGGAGUGAAGAGUCCACAUUGUAAAAUGGAUACUCUUAGUCUGUCAGGCUGUCUGAUCACAGAGGAAGGCUGUACUUCUCUGGCCUCAGCUCUGAGC